GUUUUAAUAGUUUAAAAAAAACACUGGUCUUGUAAACCAGAAUUAAGAGUACCCCCCCUUUUUUAAAACA
This 70-nucleotide transfer RNA is filed under the name Gesonula punctifrons. RNAcentral describes it as "tRNA-Thr". It matches the Rfam family "tRNA". From Rfam's summary of the family: Transfer RNA (tRNA) molecules are approximately 80 nucleotides in length. Lineage: Eukaryota; Metazoa; Arthropoda; Insecta; Orthoptera; Acrididae. The record is from RNAcentral.